GUUACAUUAGCCAAGCCCUUGAGAGGGGCCUCAGUCUUUCUCUGCCGUCUCUGGAGCUCAGGAAGUUUCAUUUCAAGUGCGCAUUAGAGCCUCACUAAUGAGCCACGAUACCGGUGCCAGAUGAAUUCUCUCGCUGCAAUGACUCAUGCCACGGCGGCCCUGCAGGGCUGCCCGGCUCCUGGGCUGCAGGAGGCAUUGUCUGGGGGAGAGCAGUUCCUAAGUGCCCUGCAGAGCUACUUCAGCAGCAGAGGGAUCCACAAAGAGAAAACUGCGCCAGCCUUCGUGCUGUCCACGAGGAAUCGCAACCUGGGGGACCAGGGAGAAUGAGAGCUGGUGGCCCCCAAGAGGGGGGUAGAUGACUAGGAAGAGCUGAUGGCAGGUGGAGUCUUGGCAAUACGAUCUCUUCGGCCUCUGAGUACUUCACAGUGAUGCACUGACUCUCUCCUGCCGCUGCGCUGCUGUGCACACCAACACACGCACACCAACACAUGAGUGACCUUUUUAUAUUUGCUGGGCUCUGCCUGCAAUACUGCGCUCUAGGUUUUGGAUUCAAUAAA
Dermochelys coriacea (leatherback sea turtle) is the source of this 557-nucleotide long non-coding RNA. RefSeq lists it as uncharacterized. NCBI's taxonomy places the organism in Eukaryota, Metazoa, Chordata, Testudines, Dermochelyidae. The transcript has 3 exons. The record is from RefSeq and is a predicted model, not a curated record.